RNAcentral lists this long non-coding RNA (569 nucleotides) under Cairina moschata (Muscovy duck). RNAcentral describes it as "domestica (muscovy Duck (domestic type)) lncRNA (ENSCMMG00000007829.1)". The record is from RNAcentral. Lineage: Eukaryota; Metazoa; Chordata; Aves; Anseriformes; Anatidae.
AGAACGUAUAGGGACUUAAAAUACCAAAGUUAAUAAGAGGAGCAACCUGGCAUGCUCCAAAACAUGGAAAUCCUCUGACGCUCAUUAUUAACUGCCUCACAGAUGAGCAUAAAGGCUUUUGCUGCGGAGCUUUGUCCUGGUUCCAGUUCCUGCAGCCACUGCAGUUCCAGCUCCUGCAGUCGCUCCAGUUCCUGCAGCCGAGGCCUGCGUCUCAGCUGAGGAGAAACUUUCUGAAGAGUUCCACCAACUUAAAGAGAAUCUAUCUUCCUCCACACCUGAACAAACCAGUGUCUCAGCUAUCAGGGGAGCAGCUCUUGCAGGAUGGGAAAUCCCUCACUGUGUUCAUACGUGUUUGACCGUCUCACACAAUGUUCAGUUUGAAACAUCUCAGACCUGAUGUACUUCUUGCCAUUCAGAGCUGCAAUAUGGGUCCUCUGGCCAGUGAGAGUGGGAUGACUUCUUUCUCCUGGCCAUCAAAUUCCCUCCAGUGGAAGUCUGUCUGCAUCCAGGAGCCUUAUUGUCACCUGGACAAAGAACUGAUGCCAGACUGUGAUCACUGCUGUCCAUGA